Molecule: non-coding RNA, 28 nt
Filed under: Homo sapiens (human)
Lineage: Eukaryota; Metazoa; Chordata; Mammalia; Primates; Hominidae
Source: RNAcentral
UGUGGUAGGAACUCCAGUGGUGAACGGC